Molecule: long non-coding RNA, 3840 nt
Filed under: Capsicum annuum
Lineage: Eukaryota; Viridiplantae; Streptophyta; Magnoliopsida; Solanales; Solanaceae
Description: long non-coding RNA (CANN_LNC008924)
Source: RNAcentral
CUGAAUGCUUUCUCUAUCGGCCUUCUCCCUAUUAGCUUUGUCCAUUUCUUGUUAUUGGCGAUAUCUGUUAAUGAUCAAGCGAUUGUCGUAUAAAUAUCGACUGUCCAAAUUGAUCAAUUUCUUUCUUGGAUUGUUUUAAUUCCUUCGUCAAUCGGUGUACGAUUGAGGAUCCUUAUACAAAAGUAAGUAAAACAAGUCUUCUCUCGACCCCUCAAAGGAUAAUGGAUUGGAUUAAUCAAACACAUAUUUCUUAAACGUAUAAAUAUGAUUCGUCUAUAAUUGACUCGUGGUCAAUAGACGCAGGGCAAGUUUUCUAAUGAGCCCAAUACCCUCCUUGGGUAUUGGAUCGUCCUAGGCUCAUGCCUAAAAUAGGAUUUUGAUUUCGAUCUAUACUAGGUGUCUAGAGUGGGUUUGAACCAGGUUCCCAAGCGAACGACUUAGGUUUGGAAAUACGAACAGCCAUCAGACGACUCACGUGGUAAUAAACCAUCGUAUUUCCGAUACAUUAUUUGGAAUUGAACAACAGGGACCGGGACAUCCACGAAACCCCAAAACAGAUUAUCAAAUAAUGCAGGAAUAUGCUAUGGAAUGCAAUAAUUAAAUACCAUGAAAUAGAAACAAACAAACACAUAAACAAAUAAUCAAAAAACAAAAUCAAACAUUUGGUUAGAACCUAGUUAAAAAUCCCCAGCAAAGUUGCCAUUUCUGUUUUGCAGAAAUUUUGACUUUUUAGAAGAAUCGCCACUUAAUUUUGAAAAGGAACUAAGAAACCUUUAUAAAAUACUUAGACGAUUCAAAAUAGGAAAAUCGUUCAAGUUAGAGAUUUUGAGUAAGCGGUUCCUAUUAACAUUUUAGGAAGGUGUUAGGCACCUAAAACGUCCGCUAACUUGUGAUUAUCCGGACUGUUUGAAAACAUCUUUUGAUUAACUUCAAAAAAUUGAUUUGUUGAAAAGUGAUUGAUUUUAAAAAACGACUUGUGUAAAAUGGAUUUAGGAGACUUAAUAGGGAUUUAACUAAGUUUAAACAAGAGUAAUAAACAAAUAAACACAUGAAAGGUGGAAGGGAGGAGAAAGUAAAGGAUUUGGGCCAAGACUUCUCCUUGUCUAAUUGGGCUUUCAACCCAUUUCACAUGUCCUAAACUAGUAUUUGAGCCUUUGGCUCGAGUCUUGCUUCACCUGUAUUAAAUUUACAACUUUGGCUUCGAGGCCCAAAUGAAUGAAUAAAGAAAUAAAAGACAACAAUGAAUAUAUAAAUAAAUAAAAAGAUAAAAAAGAAACUUUCUAGUCUCUUUGCCGGGACUUUAGCCCAUUCUUCUGCGUUCGACUCUUCAUAACCAUGCGCUAUGUAAUCGGCUUUCAAAGUCUUCUAGAAAAUAGGCCUCGAUGGCACGUUGUGUAAUGCAAGGGAAAAGAGUCUGAUUGGACUCCCGAGCGAGUUCAUGUAAAGAAAAAGAUGAAUGAAUUAAUGCAUGAUCAACCAAAAAGGAAGGGAAACAAAAAAGAAUAACUUUAAAGGUUCAGAUGAUAUAUGAUAAACUAAUUUCAGUGAAGCACAGACCAAUUCUCACACAUGAUGCAAAUAGCACAUGGGUUUAUUACCGAAUCCUAGCUGAAAUUAUAUGGAUAUUCAAAUAAAACAUCUUCAAUAAAAGAUAGGCAAAUUGCAGCUAACAAGAGAAUUCAAGGUUCUGAGAAAUUCGUUGACAGACAAACCAGCUAAAGAGGAGUAAAUAAUCAAUGAUGGUAUAAACCUGCCACAAGAUCUACAAAUUCGUAUCGUGGGAUCUAAAACAAAAUAUAAAUCAACAAAUCAAUGAUAGGAUAACUAAAUCUACUAGAUCGAUGGCAUACAAUCCGUCAUACAUCACUAACGAGACAAAAUCCAUUACUAGAUUUCCACGUAAUUUCGAAAAGGUGACCCAAGAUAAAGGACGCAACUUGAAUACAAAAUGUAUCCUUGAGGGGUCACCGAAUGAUUUGAACUACUAUGACAUCUCCCCUAUCCCUUCUUGACAUUAUUUGUCUAUAGGAAUUUUGGGAAUGUUUCCACUUGACUUCAAAAGAUUCGAAACAAAUACAUGACAAAACAAAACCGAGGCAAACUACGCAUAAUAUUGAACUAAGGCAACGAAUCAAAACUAAAACAAACAAUAGUCGGCUAAACGAAUAGCAAAUUGGGCCAAAAUAAUCAAGUACAAAAUGAUAUAAUGGAAAAUAACAAUAAUCAAAUGCUACAAUGGUUUUGAAGACAAAAUAGAAAUAAAAUUAUAAAGUUAAAGUAUUGAGGCCAAAACUGAAAUAAUAAAUGAUAAAUCAAAGGAAAAAUUUGGAUUUCAUCAAAACAAGGUGAUGAUUAAAAUGAAAAUCUAAAAUCUUAUGGUGAAAAACAUCAAAUAAUAUAGAACAAAAAUGAACAACACAAACAGCAAUCAACAAGCAAAGCAUUUAGGUUGAAACAAAUAGUGAAUUAAUCCUACAAACUUUGUUGACUCCUAUUAUAUACAUUAUAAACUACCCAACAACACUUAAUACGAAAUAGUGAAUUCAGGGCAAGUGAACCCAAAUAUGAAGCCAGCAGUGAAACACAGAUCAUAACAUGGACAAUGAUUCAACAUAACAAUCAUCUCUGCCUUCUGAGGCUCCUACAAUGAGUGAUUCUCAACAAACCACAGAAUGCUCAAACAAAUCCUACAGUCGACGAGGCCUCUACAGCUACUCCCAGCACAGAAUAACAUCAAAAAAGUUAUUUAUAACUAUAGAAGGUCGAGAUAAAGCAUAAAAGAUCAAAACUUAAAUAGAAAAGUAUAUUACCUUUUAGGGAGCAGCAAAACGGGACUACGAGCAGACGUUGGACUCCACCACCACCGGAAAGCUCGAUACCGAUAUGUGAAUUUUGACUAAACUGACUGCUACUUCUUAAAAUCUUUGCUGAACAAAAGUUUCUCUUUCUCGAAACCCUUUUUUCUUGACCCAAAAGAAAUUUUUUCCAACCUAACUUUUUUAGAAAAUUUUUGAACCCAAGAGCCAAAAUCCCCCUUUUCAACCCAACGAAUGAGCUUUUAAUAUCCAUAAAAAAUGAGGGUUCUCAAAACCUCUUCCUCGAUGCGGGAACACAACCCUUUUUAGGGUAAUUUUGGAAUUUUCUCAAGGGAUAUCAAAUUUCAAAACUCAAAACCAAAAUUCUUCCCAACAGAUCCUCCCAAAUGAACUAUUUUGAACAAAUUAAAAACCAAAAUCAGGUAUUUUGAGGCCAAGAAAAAAUUCUCCAAGAACCAAUCAAAAUUCAACAGGUAUGUAACGAACUCGUACGAAAUACUCCGAGAUUUGUGAAAUUGAACAUUGGACGGGCCAAUUAAGUAGUCUUCUCAAAGCUUCUCAUCUUUCUUCGCAUAAAUCCACAUGGGAGGGCAUGUGACGCAUGUAAGAGAUGGGAUGAGACCGGGUCGGGUUCAUUGUAAUUGGAGAUGGGUCGGGUUCAGUUUUUUAGCAUGGUGUCAUUGCUGAAUUAGGAUUUUACCAUUGCAGGAACUGUUGUUGUUGUAUCGUGUUUGGAUGGUUGUUUUCGCACUGUUGUUGGUUAUCUGUUAUCGAUGUUGGGUUAAGGAAAGAAGAAACAAAAGUUGGAUCGGGUCGGGUCGUGGAUAAGUGGGUUGGGGCGGUGAUGGGAUUUAGGUAUUGGUGUUGUUUGUUAUGUGUAAGGGAGAAUGGAUGCUGAAAUUGUUAUUAUUUUUGGGCUGAUUUGGCUAUUUUAAUGGAUUUGGCCAAUUUGUUUAAGUUUUGGCCAAUUGCAUUGCAAUUGUGGCCAAUUCCAUUUCAAAUAUGACAAAAUCUAAUAGAUUGG